RNAcentral lists this long non-coding RNA (201 nucleotides) under Elaeis guineensis (African oil palm). RNAcentral's name for it is "long non-coding RNA (EGUI_LNC016845)". The record is from RNAcentral. Lineage: Eukaryota; Viridiplantae; Streptophyta; Magnoliopsida; Arecales; Arecaceae.
AUUAGAGGUAGAAAUAGGCCAACGGCCUGUCAGGGGCCUGCGGGUUGGCCUGCUAUCAGCCUAGCCUAGCCUGGCCUGAUUUGUUUAUCUAAAUAUGCCAGGCAUAGGCUUUUAAAAAGGCCUAUUUAAAUAAAUAGGCCACACCUAAAAUUUCAAAGCCUAGCCUAAAAGCUUGCAGACCGGCUUGUAUGAAUUUCACAC